Molecule: long non-coding RNA, 5646 nt
Filed under: Sus scrofa (pig)
Lineage: Eukaryota; Metazoa; Chordata; Mammalia; Artiodactyla; Suidae
Description: lncRNA (ENSSSCG00000055937.1)
Source: RNAcentral
AGUGUCAAAUGUGAUUUUGUAAAAUAUGCAGAUGGCGAGUUUUUUCUUUUUAAGGAGGAUUGUUGUCCUUAAAAACAGACCCUCCUACUCCUAAAGAGAAGCUCUUAAAAAAAUAAAGGUAAAUUUAGGAGGAUGCCUUUGGCUAGUAAUUGAACGCAUCCUCUGGAAGAUGGAUUUAGUAAUCGCAAUUAAUCAAAGGUCAUGGAAUUCCCUAAUCCUGACUCUGCUCUUGAUUUAACACGUUGCUGCCAAUUUAAAUUUGGACUGAAGAAACCUAAAGAUUUUAACCUAGAAUAAAUAUUUUGAGUUGAGUCUUAAUCACCUUUGCUAAAGUUUGAAGUGUUUUAAUUCCAAGGACUCUGACUUCAUGCCAAACAGCUUGCUUAUGACAGGGAACCGACAGGAAUUUCUUAAUCCAUUAACGGGUAAAUUAUCUCCCCUCUGGGAAUGUGGAUUUUAAGGCACCGACUCUAAUGGGUGGUGUCUUUGCUGUUCCCCAGACCUCAGGGCUCCAGUAUCUGUGGGCCUAGAGGAAGGCAUGCCCUUAGAUGCCAUUUUCCAUUUGGAAAGCUGCAUUUAAAGACUUCUUUGUUGUUAUGUAUUGUCUGAUUUUUAAAUCCCAACGACCCAAGGUGCCAACAAUGAAAGGAAAUGUUUCAGUGGCACAGUUAGUAGGACAAGAAUGUAAGAAGGAAAAAGAGAACUGAGUUCUUGGGCUAUUUUUAGAAAGAAACUUAAAAAAAAAAAAAAAAAAAAAAAAACCUUAAGCCUUUUUAUUGAGCCGAAGAGAAGUGUGCCGCCCAGAUCCCUGGCAAUUAUAACGGCAAAGUCUGUAAUGUCAUCUUCAGCCGUUCAAGGGCCGAUGAGCGUGUCCUUCAGAGUAUAUACUUUUAUCCAAAGGAACUAACUGUUCUUCUGUUAACUGUUACCAAGGCACCAUCAGAAUGCCAGGCUUUAGAGGUGUGCUGUAGUUGGACAUGAGCUCAUUUUCAAGCUGUUAUUCAUCUGCUCCGUUGUAGUUUAGUCCUGUGGAAAAGAAAAGCUGUUUAAGAGCCAUCUAGUUUUUAAUUUAACAAAAGGAGUUUCCAGAGGUGUUUGCACCAUGAGGAAGCCUGUGUUCUUUUAGGAGGAGUUGCUGAAAUGCUCAUCACCACUUGCAGCCUGUUGCCUUGGUGAUUUACGCGCGCUGUGAAACAGUGAUAGAGGCAGAGGAGCACGUUUCCAUGAUGUCAGGGUCGGGGUGGGACUCUCUCCUGUUUGCCCGUGAUGAUGCUCCUCCCUGCUACGGUCACAGUCCCCUCCUGAGAAGAGGCUUUGUGGACUGGCCGUGACCUUGGCCCUGACAGGUCCCUGUGCACUCACCUCAGCCUCCCACGGGAAUCCAGAUGCCGAGAAACCUGGGUAGCUCUGGGCUGUGGCCGGAGCCUGUGGCUUCAGCUGUGUGCUGGGCACACUGCUCUUGACUUGAUGCCUCCAGUCGUGUGUGCCCUGCUCUCCUGGCAGCCCGCCCUCCCGUCCUCAUCCUCCCCCUCUCAAAAUAGUUCUAGCCCCAGAGGCCCUGACAGAGGAACUCCUGACUGCUCUGGAUUCCUAGAGAAGGGCCAUCUGCUGUAAGCCUCAAGGGGGCUCAGGGAGACGGAGAGGACCCUUCCUCUGGAUGCCCCGCGUCCACGUGCGGCUGUCCAUGGGGCACUUUUUUUUUUUUUUUUUUUUCUUUUCUUUCAGGGCCGCACCUGCAGGAUAUGCAAGUUCCCAGGCUAGGGGUCGAAUCGGAUCUAUAGCUGCCAGCCUGUACCACAGCCACAGCAAUGCCAGAUUCAGGCCACAUCUGUGAUCUACACCGCAGCUCAUGGCAACGCCGGAUCCUUAGCACAUUGAGUGAGGCCAAGGAUCGAACCCGUAUCCUCAUGGAUUCUAGUCGGGUUUGUUACCACUGAGCUACGACGGGAACUCCCCAGCUUCCCUUUUGGUUUGGAGCUGCUCAGGGACCACAGCUCUGGAAUGUUCUCUCCCAGAAGGAAAUGUUGCAGGGCUCAGGCUCAAUGCUGAGUUUCCACGUUCUAUCUGGAGCAGCGGGGGCGGGGGGUGGGCUUGGGCUCUGCCAUCUAGGGCACAGGGUGUGGUCGUAGGACCCAGCCCCCGGGCAGGGAAUCUGAGGGCUCCUGGAAAUGCUGGGGCACUGUUACUGUUCAGCUGUAGUAAGCGCCCCCAGAGCCAAACAAUGCACAAAGGAAGCGAUGGUGCCUACUCGCCAAGAACCCUCGUGCUCGAAGUAGGCGGGCCCCAGAGCUGACUUACACAUCGAGUGAGCUGGCAGAGCCAAGAAUGGAAGGAAGGAGAGGAGAACAGGGUGAGCAGGGAAGGUCCGGGGUCGCCCUCAGGCCACCUUUCAGUUCAUCUGGCCUUUUGCCAGGGGCAGAGCCACCGGGCACUGCCUUCCCUGUUCCUGGGAAGGGGUGGAGGUGGGGGCGAGGACGGCCUCCCGGGCCUGACCCACAGCCCCAGUUCCCUGUGAUGAUCCCCGGCACUGGGAGGAGGCUCAGGAGUUUCCGCCUGCACCUGGACUGUUGCUGUUCUGUAGAGCAAGAGACAUGAUGCGUCUAAAAGGCAGGCAGUGUCUUUUCUCCAUAGAGUGCUCUUGGGGUGGAAGUACGAAUUGGGGUUCCAGAUUUUCUCUCCCUUUGAAACUGAAAUAUUCCCGAACUAGUUACUUAGCCCCAUUCUGGUUUGGGAGGUUGAGUCAACUGUUAAAUUAGGGAAGUGCCUUGAACUGCUCAGAAGAAAGGUGUUUCGAAGGCCAACUCAGCGUUAUUGCAGCUCUCAGAGGAGUCAGAAGGCUGUGAAUCAGAGGCAGUAAAAAAGGUGAGCUCGGGUAUUGGAGAUUAAUAAAUAGGAGGACGGGUAUGAAUCUGUGAGUCAUUUUCCCUUUAUACUCAAGCUCAUCCCAUCGCUGACUAAGGUUCUGGGUCUCAUUCCACGGAUCCACAACUGAGAGAACCUUGGAGAGACUGCAACAGAGAAGCUCAGAAAUGACUAAAGGGUUGAAAAAUGAUGCCUGUGCUAAGAUGUUAGGGAGCUUCUCUUCUUUAGCCCGUAGGGGAAAAAAUGACCAGGGGACUUGUGAAUUGUUAUUCAAGCAUCUGUGUGCUUCGGUACCAGGGAACAGUGGCCGGCUAGGAUUCGGUUCUCUCGAGGAUGUGAGUGUUUGGUCCAGUUAGGGUUGAGUCAGAACCGCAGUCCCCACAGUGUGAUCCACUAACCUCAGCAUCAAUAGCACCUGGGAGCUUGUGAGAAUUGCACAUUCUCAGGCCCCACUCAGGACCUGCCAAUUCAGAAACUAUGGGAUGGGGCCCAGCAACCUGUCUUUGAACUAACUGCCCCACCCCCACCCCCACACGUAAUUCAGAUGCACACUGAAGUUUGCGGACCACUAGACAAGGUACUAGAAGGGUUCUUAUAAAUUGAGGACUUGGGGUACAGCAAAGUCUAAACUUUUUUCCUGAAGUCUCUAAAAAAUGGGUUUGGAUUAGUUUGCAAUGUUUUCAACAUUCUGUCUGCAGUCAGAAGGUCACUGACCUCCCAGAGUCCGAGUAGCCCUGACUCUGCUCUGGAUGUCCUCCGUCACUUAAGAUGAAUAAUAAUAAAAAAAUUUUUUAAAAAAAGAAGAUGAAUAAUUAACCAGGAGAAUCGGGCAAUUACUUUUCUGAACUCAGUGGUUAAGACAGUGCCCAUGUCGUGUGAUCACAUGAGCUGUUGUGAUAGUAAUAAGUUGUGUUAUCAGAUAGAUCCUGCUUAGAUCACAGUCCUGUUAAUUACAGCGACUGUCUUCUCCCCACCUGAGGAGAGGUUUGGGCAGUGGUCAGAGGGGGAGCCCUUCGCUGCUAGCCCAGAACCCCUCCACGUCACAGCUGCUGGCUGGGUGGCUGCUCUUUUCACAGAGCGCCUUUCAAAAGAAAGGUAACCGCAGGGAAGUUUGUCUCUACCCCCUUGUCCUGCCUCUGUCACUUCCACCUGCAGGAAUGCCUGCCUUCUGCCUGCACAGGAAUCCCAUCUGGUGCCCUGGAAACUGGGGACAGUGGGGGACCUAAGUAUCUAGCAUUGGCAGGUCUCUCCAAGACCUGGAGGCCACAGACCUAUUUAUCCUGUUGCUUUGUAUCUACAGCAGACAGCGGAUGGUACACAGAUUCUGACCCUUCCCCAUCAAAAUACUUGUUCCUAAGAGUCCCUCUACCCCCGCCCCCCAAUUUUGCACAUAAUAUCAAUGCAUCUUAAUUCAGUUGUCUUUGCCACUCUUAUAUAUUUUUCCUUUGUAUUUUUGCUUGGAACUGUCUGUGGUUGAAAACACAAACUCGUGGGGGUGGGGUGAGAGGUCUGUUGUGCUACAUUGUAUAGCAUUUAAUGCAUUCAGAGCUUGCCCCAUCAGAAUGAGGAAGGGGUCCUCUGAGGACAUGCUUGGCCAGCCCUGCCUUAGAAAGUGUUGCACAGGCAGCGAACGGCUGUCCCCAGGGAGGACACGUUCAGCCUUGGCGGGAGCCCUGAGGCCCCGAGGCUUUAGCACUGAGAAUUGGGAUCGGUGGGAGCCUGGGCUUUCAUAGCUGUAGUUAACUACACCUCUGCAGGGUAUUAAAGACCUUCAAGUGAGGGCUCCUGGCUCAGACCCCAGUUUGCCUUGUAAGGGGAACGAGAGGGUUAAAGGCCGCAGGUGUGUAUUCUGAGCCGUUUGUGAGCCUUCAGACCUCGAUAUGUUGGAAAAAACUGACCUCUCAGAUGUUAAGCUGUGGGCACUGUUACUUCCCGAGGCCAUGUCCCUUGCAGAGUGUGCAAGGCCUGCUCAGUGUGCUGGCUGUGCACAGAGGCACUCGAUUGGUCUCAGCAAUCCGGAGGGCAGGCGGCUGAUUUUAACACCCUGGAUCAGUCUCCGAAUAGGAAACGUUUUCUUUAAAACCCAUGAACUCUCAACAACUAUAUCUAGCAGAGCAGAUUCCAAAUGUCUGGUCGAUUUAUUUCUUAAUAAAUAGCAGGGGAAAGGCUAUUUUCAUUUCUCUACAAAGAGGAAUGACUGACUGGUCCUUUUGGUAUUACAUCCUGGCAAAAAUAAUUUUGUUUUCAAAGUCAGUCGUAUCUUGCCCACGUAUAUGUCGUGAAAAAUGAGAGUUGUGGAGUUCUCGUUGUGGCUCAGCAGUAAUGAACCCAGCUAGUACCCAUGAGGACAUGGGUUUAGUUCCUGGCCCCACACAGUGUGUUAAGGAUCUGGUGUUGCUGUGAGCUGCAGUGUAGGUCACAGAUGCCGCUUUGAUGUGGCGUUGCUGUGGCUGCGGUGUAGGCCAGCAGCUGUACCUUUGAUUUGAUCCCUGCCCUGGGAACCUCCAUGUGCUGCGGGUGCAACUCUAAAAAUUAAAAAAAAUUUUUAAUAAAAUUAAACUUCUGGGAGUUCCUGUUGUGGCUCAGCAGGUUGAAGACUUGACAUUGUCUCUGUGAGAAUGUGGGUUCGAUCCCUGGCCUCUGCUCAGUGGGUCAAGGAGUCGGCAUUGCUGCAAGCUGUGGUGUAGGUCGCCCAUGUGGCUCGGAUCUGGUGUGGCUGUGGCUGUGGUGUAGACCUGGAGCUGCAGCUCUGAUUAGACCCCUAGCCUGGGAACUUUCAUAUGC